This 483-nucleotide ribosomal RNA is filed under the name uncultured bacterium. RNAcentral describes it as "bacterial SSU rRNA". It matches the Rfam family "Bacterial small subunit ribosomal RNA", at positions 29 to 487 of the family's 1533-position model. The record is from RNAcentral.
AACUAACGCUGGCGGCGUGCCUAACACAUGCAAGUCGUACGAGAAAGUUGGCUUCGGCCGAUGAGUACAGUGGCGCACGGGUGAGUAACGCGUGGAUAAUCUGCCCUUAAGUGUGGAAUAACGUACCGAAAGGUGCGCUAAUACCGCAUAAUGCCUGGCAACAUAAGUUGUCCGGCCAAAGAAGGCCUCUGCUUGCAAGCUUUCGCUAAAGGAUGAGUCCGCGUACCAUUAGCUAGUUGGUGGGGUAACGGCCUACCAAGGCGACGAUGGUUAGCUGGUCUGAGAGGAUGAUCAGCCACACUGGAACUGAGACACGGUCCAGACUCCUACGGGAGGCAGCAGUGAGGAAUAUUGCGCAAUGGGGCAACCCUGACGCAGCAACGCCGCGUGAGUGAGGAAGGUUUUCGGACUGUAAAGCUACUGUCGAGCGGGAAGAAGUGUACCAUGGCUAAUAUCCAUGAUAUUUGACGGUACCGCUAGAGG